AACAGUUAAGCUGCAGAUGCCAACCAAGAUGACCAGAGAUCCAACCAAGAUGACCAGAGAUCCAGGAAGAAUACCUUUGAAAGGACAGCUGUAGAAGAAAGUGCAACCCAGCACACAACCGAAUUCCCACACCCCUCUUUGUUGAGUAUGCCUGCGUGUGAUGUCGACCUACAGACUAGAGAGCCACAGCUGAAGACAGAAACCCAGCAGAACACAAAGAAACAUGAAGCGGACCACUGCCCUGAAGCCAAACUUCCCUCUUCAAAAUGAGCCUUUGCCCCAAAAAGAGGCUCCUUUUUGUUUUUUUCUUUGUAUCUUUUGUAAUUUCUUGUUGUAAGGUUCUAUAUAAAUACAUAUUGUUGUUAU
Molecule: long non-coding RNA, 366 nt
Organism: Chelmon rostratus (copperband butterflyfish)
Lineage: Eukaryota; Metazoa; Chordata; Actinopteri; Chaetodontiformes; Chaetodontidae
Exons: 3
Source: RefSeq, a predicted model, not a curated record